This 2688-nucleotide long non-coding RNA is filed under the name Equus caballus (horse). RNAcentral describes it as "lncRNA (ENSECAG00000044152.1)". Lineage: Eukaryota; Metazoa; Chordata; Mammalia; Perissodactyla; Equidae. The record is from RNAcentral.
GGUGAAACAUGUUCACUGCCACUGGGAGACCCGAUGAGACAAGGACCGUGAACUGGCCACUAAUCUAGUCAAGACGUGGAUCCGAGAACAGCGCAAGGAAGUUAAGAGUGUUUGCAGGGGAUUUCGCGUGCUGGAUUAUGAAAUCUCAGCUGGCUGAGAAGUGAAGACCUGAAGGGAGAUAAAUCCUGAAGAAACCGCAGAGCGAUGGCCUGGAAGUCUCUGAGAGAGGAAGAGUUAUUACGUGCUGAGAAGAGCUAAGUUAUCUACAUAACAAAGCAAUGCAGUGGGACGAGGAAGAGGUCCAGAGCAGGGAAAAGUCAGGAGCGUGUUCAGACUGUAGCCCAUUCGAGGCUGUGGAGCAGCUACAGGGCAGAGAAAACUGGGCUUGGAGGAAGGAGCCUCUGAGAGGGGCCGAUCCUGGCCCUGAGCUAACAUCUGUGCCCACCUUCCUCUACUUUAUAUGUGGGACGCCUACCACAGCAUGGCAUGCCAAGUGGUGCCAUGUCGGCACCCAGGAUCCAAACCGGUGAACCCCAGGCCGCAGAGAAGCGGAACGUGCGAACUUAACCGCUGAGCCACCGGGCUGGCCCCUGAAGUCUUUUUAAUGUUCUUCCAGAAAGUUUAAGCUAAUGCGAAGUGGGUUUCUUUCAUGGAAAACCAAAGGAGUCCUGACCUACUCGGGCCUUCAAAGACAAAGGAGGGUGGCCAAGUGGGGAGCAGCGAGGGAAGUGUUCUGCCUGGAGAGGCUGGCCAGGCGGCAAUGGAGAUGUGGGACCCGGAACAGGGAGGAGCACAUGCUCGAGUGGGAGCACCACCGGACAAAGUAUUUUCUGGGCAAGUAGCAGGGCCGUAUUGUCUGGAAGACCCACAGAGAAGAGGACUCUUAGAGCAGCUGCUGCGUUGGCAGCCCCGUCUGUGAGAGGAAACGCCCCCUCCUUCCUCUUUUUCUUCCUCCUCCCCUUCCUGCCAGGGCUGGUGCAGAGAUGAACCCACAGGAGUAGUCUGGGGGGCAGAGAACACAUUUUCCUUUUUAAACGAGAAGGGUUUGUUUCGCUCUGUGCUCCCACGGCUCUGCCAGGGACCGAUUUCUCCACGGUGAGGAGCCGCAGGUCAGCCCUCAGAACCACGUUUGAGGAUGGCCAGCCACCUUCCAACAUGGCCACUCUGCCCGGGACUCCAGUUUAGGAGCUGAGACCUCUUACCAACAGCCAGCACCAAGCUGCCAGGCAAGUGAGGGCGCCAUCUUGGAAGUGGAUCCUCCAGCCCCAGUCAAGCCUUCAGAUGAUUGCAGCCUCAGCUAAUAUCUUGACUAAAACCUUGUAAGAGACCCUGAACCAGAGCUGUCAAGCCUGCAACCCAACAUGAUGUGAUGAAUGGCACUUCGGCAGCCAUCUUGGAUCAUGAGGCAUUCGGCUUCUGGCGAGCCCGCCCCCAGGGUGACUCACGCAUUUCCCUGCACCGCUGGGACAGCAGUGGGGGCCCAAUGAGGAGCCCCGUUGGGCCCUGCGGGGGCGCCCCUGAAGUGGCACGUGUCCUGGUCAUUCCUGGGGUGGAGCGUGGCUCUCUGGGGUGUAGCCCGAGCCGGCCCCACAGCCUCUCUGAACCUUCUUUGGAUGUCUCCCAGUCCACACGCCACAUUAGAGUCGUUUCGUCGGCCCACAGCUGGAGGAAAACAGCGAUUCUGGAGUGGGGAGAGCGAUCGCCACAAAGACCCGCUCAAAGAUCCGCAGUCUCCCGCUCCAGCCAAUCACUUCCUGGAAGACCACGUGGGAGAGGGAUCUCAGUCACUUAAUCAAAGCGACAGUAUCGAUCAGGGGCCCUAAACUGUUAGAGUGGCGGUGGGAGGCGGGUGGGUAGGAACACCAAACAAAGGAGGAACCCCAGAGAUAGUAUCCCACUUGCUGUUUACCCCAGGGCGGUGACUGACAUGUUGGGGCCAGGAAUCAACCUGUGGGUUGCCGCUUACUUGCCGUUAAGUCUUUGGGCUACUUUAAGAUUUAUGAACAUCUUCUGACUCCCUGGAAUUCUGGAACUUUAGAGCUAGAGAAACUUAGCACCCAUUGUUGUCGCUCCUCAUUUUAAGGGAGAGACCUAGAGGGUUAGGUGACUUGGUCGAGGGUUAGGCCAUGCUGUUCCUGCUCUUAGUUGAUGAGUCACACCUGGAACUCAAGGCCCCAACUCUCCUUCCACCUAUUGUAAAAAUGGCGUCUGCUCCCAGCCUACCUGCCAGGUGGAGGGAGGCGGGUGGGGGUGGGGAGGAGCUGGUGUGAGGGAAACAUCCAUCAAAUGAAUGGGGUCUCCCCUGAGUUAAGAACAUUAUGUAGAAACAAUUUUGUGUUUCAGUGGAAAACUGAAUCAUCUGUAUGUGUUAUCCAUUGCAUACCUUCCAGGGUUAUAAGAUUCAAGCCUAUUCAUUAUCUUUAAGCUAUUUUGCAACUCUGUAAGUUGUAGCUAAUUGACAGAUAUGUAAAUUCUGUCCUACCUGGUAGAUUUGACUUCUUCCCACCACCACUCCGUCGGCAGGAAAAAAAACACUUGUCUUCAUUUGCAAUUCAUCUCUAACAUUCCUUUACUCCAUGUAAAUUGGUGCUGUUUUGACUUUUCCUUUGAACCAGUUAUAACAUCUAUCUGCCUGGUUCUGUCAUAUCAUGUGAGCAAAAUAAAUUCUUUAACGCGUGUUCAUUUUUU